AUUGAACGCUGGCGGCAGGCCUAACACAUGCAAGUCGAGCGAGCGGCGGACGGGUGAGUAAUGUCUGGGAAACUGCCUGAUGGAGGGGGAUAACUACUGGAAACGGUAGCUAAUACCGCCCAUCCUCAGAUGGGUCCAGAUGGGAUUGGAUAGUAGGUGGGUUAACGGCUAGACUAGGCGACGAUCCCUAGCUGGGCUGAGAGGAUGACCAGCCACACGGGAACUGAGACACGGUCCAGACUCCUACGUGAGGCAGCAGGGGGGAAUAUUGCACAAUGGGCGAAAGCCUGAUGCAGCAAUGCCGCGUGUGUGAAGAAGGCCUUCGGGGUGUAAAGCACUUUCAGCGGGGAGGCGUUACCCGCAGAAGAAGCACCGGCUAACUCCGUGCCAGCAGCCGCGGUAAUAC
RNAcentral lists this ribosomal RNA (406 nucleotides) under uncultured bacterium. RNAcentral describes it as "partial 16S ribosomal RNA". It matches the Rfam family "Bacterial small subunit ribosomal RNA", at positions 29 to 526 of the family's 1533-position model. The record is from RNAcentral.